This 253-nucleotide ribosomal RNA is filed under the name uncultured bacterium. Its description in RNAcentral is "partial 16S ribosomal RNA". It matches the Rfam family "Bacterial small subunit ribosomal RNA", at positions 524 to 776 of the family's 1533-position model. The record is from RNAcentral.
GACGAACCGUGCGAACGUUGUUCGGAAUCACUGGGCUUAAAGGGCGCGUAGGCGGUUCGGAAAGUCCGGGGUGAAAGCCCCCAGCUCAACUGGGGAAGGGCCUCGGAUACUGCCGGACUUGGGGGAGGUAGGGGCGGGCGGAACUUCCGGUGGAGCGGUGAAAUGCGUUGAUAUCGGAAGGAACGCCGGUGGCGAAAGCGGCCCGCUGGACCUCUGCCGACGCUGAGGCGCGAAAGCCAGGGGAGCGAACGGG